RNAcentral lists this ribosomal RNA (471 nucleotides) under Enterococcus faecium. RNAcentral describes it as "bacterial SSU rRNA". It matches the Rfam family "Bacterial small subunit ribosomal RNA", at positions 1 to 450 of the family's 1533-position model. Lineage: Bacteria; Bacillati; Bacillota; Bacilli; Lactobacillales; Enterococcaceae. The record is from RNAcentral.
UUUUAUGAGAGUUUGAUCCUGGCUCAGGACGAACGCUGGCGGCGUGCCUAAUACAUGCAAGUCGAACGCUUCUUUUUCCACCGGAGCUUGCUCCACCGGAAAAAGAGGAGUGGCGAACGGGUGAGUAACACGUGGGUAACCUGCCCAUCAGAAGGGGAUAACACUUGGAAACAGGUGCUAAUACCGUAUAACAAUCAAAACCGCAUGGUUUUGAUUUGAAAGGCGCUUUCAGGUGUCGCUGAUGGAUGGACCCGCGGUGCAUUAGCUAGUUGGUGAGGUAACGGCUCACCAAGGCCACGAUGCAUAGCCGACCUGAGAGGGUGAUCGGCCACAUUGGGACUGAGACACGGCCCAAACUCCUACGGGAGGCAGCAGUAGGGAAUCUUCGGCAAUGGACGAAAGUCUGACCGAGCAACGCCGCGUGAGUGAAGAAGGUUUUCGGAUCGUAAAACUCUGUUGUUAGAGAAGAAC